GAUGAACGCUGGCGGCGUGCCUAAUACAUGCAAGUCGAGCGAACAGAUAAGGAGCUUGCUCCUUUGACGUUAGCGGCGGACGGGUGAGUAACACGUGGGUAACCUACCUAUAAGACUGGAAUAACUCCGGGAAACCGGGGCUAAUGCCGGAUAACAUUUAGAACCGCAUGGUUCUAAAGUGAAAGAUGGUUUUGCUAUCACUUAUAGAUGGACCCGCGCCGUAUUAGCUAGUUGGUAAGGUAACGGCUUACCAAGGCAACGAUACGUAGCCGACCUGAGAGGGGGAUCGGCCACACUGGAACUGAGAAACGGUCCAGACUCCUACGGGAGGCAGCAGUAGGGAAUCUUCCGCAAAGGGCGAAAGCCUGACGGAGCAACGCCGCGUGAGUGAAGAAGGUCUUCGGAUCGUAAAACCCCUUUAUUUGGGAAGAACAAAUGUGUAAGUAACUGUGCACGUCUUGACGGUACCUAAUCAGAAAGCCACGGCUAACUACGUG
This 497-nucleotide ribosomal RNA is filed under the name uncultured bacterium. RNAcentral describes it as "partial 16S ribosomal RNA". It matches the Rfam family "Bacterial small subunit ribosomal RNA", at positions 28 to 507 of the family's 1533-position model. The record is from RNAcentral.